This is a non-coding RNA of Monodelphis domestica (gray short-tailed opossum), 1241 nucleotides long. The record is from RefSeq and is a predicted model, not a curated record. Lineage: Eukaryota; Metazoa; Chordata; Mammalia; Didelphimorphia; Didelphidae.
UACCUAAUACCUUUAGAUUGAAGAGAGGAUGAACUCUCUUUUUUAUACUUUUGAAUUAAUCAACAAAAAUGUGUACACCCAUACUUAACUCUAAAUUAAGGGAAGUCCACAAACUCUUACUCCUAGAAAGAGAGUUAACACCUCUAGAGGCGAGAUGCCAGCAAGAUACUUGGAAGAUCUCCACCCCUUUUUCCUAACUCAAACAGUCAGAAAUUUGUGAAUUAUUUUGAGUCCACACCCUCAGAAACUAUAAACUUUUUUGACAAGAAAUUGGCCUUCAGAGGCCUUUGAUAAAAGUUGCUACCAUCAGAGAAUUAGAGGUGUAACAAUUUUGGAAACUGUGAUUGGCCUCAUGUGAAAAGGGGUGGGGAUAGGAAACCACCAUAAAAGCCACAAAAUCCUUGAGCUGGCAGUCUGGUGAAGUUGAGUCACAUGGAAAGUGUCUCCGGGAGAUAGUCUUUCUUUUGAGGGAACUUCAUUGGAGACUGCAGCAUGCAUUGUGACUUCAACUUAAUCUAUGACUCCUCGACUACUUGGUUGGGUAAGUGAAAAGCCUGACUCCCUUCCUAGUUUUCUAAGAGUUUGGCUUCCAUCUUGGAGGAGCCUGGGUGAUUAAUCAUUACCAGCCAUUACCAGCCUCCUGGAUGAGGACUAGUACAGCAAUGAACCUUGAUUGAAAUGUGGAGAAAGACUACAACUCACCCUUUGAUUGAAGGCAGUUAACUGUUGCCCUAUUCACUGGAAGAUGGAGGCCAGAAAUUUCUAAAAUUCAACAUUAUGUGGCCCUUCUUUCCACAGAAGUGGCAGGAUGAAGAAAAGAGCAACUUUUAAUCCAGUGGUCAGAGACAGUACCAUUGAUGACACUUUCAUGGAAGAAGAGUAAUAUUCUAUAAUAGAAGAUGGAAACAUUACACAGAAGGUAAUGUGCUUUCUUUGGCUGUCAUGCAGGCUGAUUCCUCUCUGAAACAUCUUUCAGAAAAAAAAAAAUACCAACACUGGGAUGAUAGGUCCAGAACCGAUGUCAAGCGUUUGAUCACCUGAUUCCCGAUCACCUUUCUGCUUUACAUUGUAAGUUUCAUCUAACAUUGAUCCUGGGAUCAUUUGAAAAACCACCAAAAAGACACCUAUGAGGAGCGCUAUAGAGGGUCAGAUAUUUUGAUUCCUUUUGAACUUACUGUACAACCUCUGUGAGACAGUUCUCAUUUGCACUCUACUCAAUGACACCAGUGUGUGAACAUUAA